This is a microRNA precursor of Oryza rufipogon (brownbeard rice), 203 nucleotides long. It matches the Rfam family "MIR812 microRNA precursor family". NCBI's taxonomy places the organism in Eukaryota, Viridiplantae, Streptophyta, Magnoliopsida, Poales, Poaceae. The record is from Rfam.
AAAAAAAGCAAACUCUGGAUUUUUUUUCCAACUUUGACUGUCCGUCUUAUAUGAAAUUUUUUUAUAAUUUGAAUUUUCAUUGUUGUUAGAUGAUAAAAAUGAUUAAUAUUUUAUGCAUGACUUGUCUUUUUAAUUUUUUUAUAAUUUUUUCUAAUAAGACGGACGGUCAAACGUUGGACACGGAAACCAGGGUUUGUCUUUUU